Molecule: ribosomal RNA, 497 nt
Filed under: Sporosarcina sp. CL5.85
Lineage: Bacteria; Bacillati; Bacillota; Bacilli; Caryophanales; Caryophanaceae
Description: bacterial SSU rRNA
Rfam family: Bacterial small subunit ribosomal RNA
Source: RNAcentral
CCCUGGCUCAGACGAACGCUGGCGGCGUGCCUAAUACAUGCAAGUCGAGCGGAAUGAUGAAGAAGCUUGCUUCUUCUGAUUUUAGCGGCGGACGGGUGAGUAACACGUGGGCAACCUACCUUGUAGAUUGGGAUAACUCCGGGAAACCGGGGCUAAUACCGAAUAAUCCAUUUUGCUUCAUGGCAAGAUGUUGAAAGGCGGCUUCGGCUGUCACUACGAGAUGGGCCCGCGGCGUAUUAGCUAGUUGGUAGGGUAAUGGCCUACCAAGGCGACGAUACGUAGCCGACCUGAGAGGGUGAUCGGCCACACUGGGACUGAGACACGGCCCAGACUCCUACGGGAGGCAGCAGUAGGGAAUCUUCCACAAUGGACGAAAGUCUGAUGGAGCAACGCCGCGUGAGUGAAGAAGGUUUUCGGAUCGUAAAACUCUGUUGUAAGGGAAGAACACGUACGAGAGUAACUGCUUCGUACCUUGACGGUACCUUAUUAGAAAGCCA